CUAGGGGGGCCGUAUCUCUACGGCUUUCCGGUGUAUGUCAAGCCUUGGUAAGGUUCUUCGCGUUGCGUCGAAUUAAGCCACAUGCUCCGCCGCUUGUGCGGGCCCCCGUCAAUUCCUUUGAGUUUUAGCCUUGCGGCCGUACUCCCCAGGCGGGGCACUUAAUGCGUUAGCUGCGGCACGGACGACGUGGAAUGCCGCCCACACCUAGUGCCCAACGUUUACGGCGUGGACUACCAGGGUAUCUAAUCCUGUUCGCUCCCCACGCUUUCGCUCCUCAGCGUCAGUAUCGGCCCAGAGAUCCGCCUUCGCCACCGGUGUUCCUCCUGAUAUCUGCGCAUUUCACCGCUACACCAGGAAUUCCAAUCUCCCCUGCCGAACUCUAGCCUGCCCGUAUCGAAUGCAGACCCGGGGUUAAGCCCCGGGCUUUCACAUCCGACGCGACAAGCCGCCUACGAGCUCUUUACGCCCAAUAAUUCCGGACAACGCUCGCACCCUACGUAUUACCGCGGCUGCUGGCACGUAGUUAGCCGGUGCUUCUUCUGCAGGUACCGUCACUCGCGCUUCUUCCCUGCUGAAAGAGGUUUACAACCCGAAGGCCGUCAUCCCUCACGCGGCGUCGCUGCAUCAGGCUUGCGCCCAUUGUGCAAUAAUUCCCACUGCUGCCCUCCCG
Molecule: ribosomal RNA, 670 nt
Filed under: Streptomyces sp. A-192
Lineage: Bacteria; Bacillati; Actinomycetota; Actinomycetes; Kitasatosporales; Streptomycetaceae
Description: partial 16S ribosomal RNA
Source: RNAcentral